This 1203-nucleotide ribosomal RNA is filed under the name Escherichia coli. RNAcentral describes it as "partial 23S ribosomal RNA". It matches the Rfam family "Bacterial large subunit ribosomal RNA", at positions 571 to 1774 of the family's 2925-position model. The record is from RNAcentral. Lineage: Bacteria; Pseudomonadati; Pseudomonadota; Gammaproteobacteria; Enterobacterales; Enterobacteriaceae.
CAGUGGGAGCCUCUUUUAUGGGGUGACUGCGUACCUUUUGUAUAAUGGGUCAGCGACUUAUAUUCUGUAGCAAGGUUAACCGAAUAGGGGAGCCGAAGGGAAACCGAGUCUUAACUGGGCGUUAAGUUGCAGGGUAUAGACCCGAAACCCGGUGAUCUAGCCAUGGGCAGGUUGAAGGUUGGGUAACACUAACUGGAGGACCGAACCGACUAAUGUUGAAAAAUUAGCGGAUGACUUGUGGCUGGGGGUGAAAGGCCAAUCAAACCGGGAGAUAGCUGGUUCUCCCCGAAAGCUAUUUAGGUAGCGCCUCGUGAACUCAUCUCCGGGGGUAGAGCACUGUUUCGGCAAGGGGGUCAUCCCGACUUACCAACCCGAUGCAAACUGCGAAUACCGGAGAAUGUUAUCACGGGAGACACACGGCGGGUGCUAACGUCCGUCGUGAAGAGGGAAACAACCCAGACCGCCAGCUAAGGUCCCAAAGUCAUGGUUAAGUGGGAAACGAUGUGGGAAGGCCCAGACAGCCAGGAUGUUGGCUUAGAAGCAGCCAUCAUUUAAAGAAAGCGUAAUAGCUCACUGGUCGAGUCGGCCUGCGCGGAAGAUGUAACGGGGCUAAACCAUGCACCGAAGCUGCGGCAGCGACACUGUGUGUUGUUGGGUAGGGGAGCGUUCUGUAAGCCUGUGAAGGUGUACUGUGAGGUAUGCUGGAGGUAUCAGAAGUGCGAAUGCUGACAUAAGUAACGAUAAAGCGGGUGAAAAGCCCGCUCGCCGGAAGACCAAGGGUUCCUGUCCAACGUUAAUCGGGGCAGGGUGAGUCGACCCCUAAGGCGAGGCCGAAAGGCGUAGUCGAUGGGAAACAGGUUAAUAUUCCUGUACUUGGUGUUACUGCGAAGGGGGGACGGAGAAGGCUAUGUUGGCCGGGCGACGGUUGUCCCGGUUUAAGCGUGUAGGCUGGUUUUCCAGGCAAAUCCGGAAAAUCAAGGCUGAGGCGUGAUGACGAGGCACUACGGUGCUGAAGCAACAAAUGCCCUGCUUCCAGGAAAAGCCUCUAAGCAUCAGGUAACAUCAAAUCGUACCCCAAACCGACACAGGUGGUCAGGUAGAGAAUACCAAGGCGCUUGAGAGAACUCGGGUGAAGGAACUAGGCAAAAUGGUGCCGUAACUUCGGGAGAAGGCACGCUGAUAUGUAGGUGAAGCGACUUGCUC